Molecule: long non-coding RNA, 5014 nt
Filed under: Podarcis lilfordi (Lilford's wall lizard)
Lineage: Eukaryota; Metazoa; Chordata; Lepidosauria; Squamata; Lacertidae
Source: RNAcentral
UGUUGAUUUAAAGCAGAGUCUGUCGUGCCCAGCGGAAGGAUGAGGAAAAUGUGUUACAUACUCUAUAUUGCUUUAUUUACAGUUCAAAGCUGGUACAUUACAGAAAGACAUCUUGCCUCUGCAGGAGCAGAAAAAUGCAUCCUCUCUCCUCAACAGCUUGGAGAGAAGCACACAGAGAAAAACAGGAAACCAGUGUACGUCACAUCCAGUCUCCCUUUCCCGUGAGAAACUCCAACAGUACAGACUGUGGAAUGUAAACACCUGUCUUGUGACUGCAGUUGCUGCACAGUGAAGGAAAUAGAAACCAACAUCCUCCCCCUUUCUGUGAACAUCACUGGGCAGCGUGUUUGCACAAUAUCAGUACAAACCCAACUUCUGCACAUAGGUACAGUGUUGAUCCCUUGAUACAAUCUUGGACAAUACAUCAGCAGGAAUUUCAUUACCUGGCAUAUAGGACACCGUUACGAGUCCCUUCUGAAUACAUUCCCUAGCAUGCUGCAACUUUAAUUGCAAGUGCUUUGUGCUUUGCUUACAACCUUCAGACUUCAGCAAAGCCAAACAUGCUUUGUUGUCCUGGUAAACCUGGAUUGGACAUUUGACAGGAAUUUUCAUAUCUUUGCACAAUUGUACUAACCAUUCACAAUCCUUAAGUGAAUAAGACAGUGCAUUCAGUUCAGCUUCACAAGUACUUAAGCUAACUGUUGUUUGCUUCUUGCAUGACCAAUCAAACAGACUCUGAUUGUACAUGUAGCAAACUCCAGACGUACUUUUCCUGUCUGUAGUGUCACUUCCAAAAUUUGCAUCUGCAAAUAUCUCAAGACCACCAGACUUCUGAUUGUUAAAUCUCAGUCUGUAAUGCAUAGUGCCUUUCAAAUACCGCGCUAUGCGUUUCAGAGCUUUCCAAUCCUUGACACUAGGAUUGUUGACUUGUCUGCUUAGCAAAUUACAGCUAACAGCAAUGUCUGGUCUUGAACAUCUGGCAAUGAAGUUUAGCUUGCCUAGCACACUCCUGUACAGUGUAGUGUCAGAAAAUGCUUCUUCAGUGUCAUCUACCUGAUAACCUGUUGUCAUCGGUGUGUCUACAGGGUUAGCAUCCAUCAGAUUUAGUUUGCUUAACACAUCAGCAAUUUUCCGUGACUGGUGUACUAGAAUGUUACCAUCUUGAUCUCUCUCUAUUUCCAGAGAUAGGUAGUUGUUUACCUCACCAAGAUCUUUCAUGUCAAAAUGCUCUUUCAGUUGAGCUAGGGCGCUAUUGUACAUCGCGACAUCUUUCCAAAAGAAUAAUAAAUCAUCAACAUAAAACAAACAGUACAGUUUCUUUUGCCCCUCCUCUUUGACAAAUACACAUGGAUCAGCUUUCCCUUGCUGAAAACCUAGAGAAAACAAUACUUCAGUGAGUUUUGUGUGCCAACACCGUGCACUUUGUUUGAGACCAUAAAGGGAUUUCUUCAGAGCACAAACAAAUCCCUGUUUUACCUGUACGCCAUCAGGUGGAAGCAUAUAAAGUGAUUCAUCUAGAGAUCCGUACAGAAAAGCUGUAUUAAUAUCAUGGUGACUAAUGUGUAGAUUUUCCUCUGCAGCUAGCUUGAGCAUAAGCCUAAUGCUUUCAUAUCUCACUGUGGGUGAAUAGGUCUCGUGAUAGUCUUCACCUGGUACCUGUGCAAAACCUCUGGCUACCAAUCUGGCUUUGUGUCUGACUAUCUUGCCAUUUUGAUCUGUCUUCGCUUUGAAGACCCAUUUGCUUCCAAGCAGUUUCAUUCCUGGAACUACUGGAACUAGCUCCCAUGUUUUGUUCCUUUCUAAGGAAUCAAGCUCAGCCUUCAUGGCAUUUAACCAUGGCUCAGCUUCCUUUGAAUCCAAACCCUGGAUUUCUUGGAAACUUGAAGGUUCAAAUACCUUCUUGGAGCUUUUAACAGCUGUUACUGCUAUCUUAGCAAACUCAUCAGCAAAUCUCUUUGGAGGUUUGCCUUUUGUGGCUCUCUGUGACCUACGAAUUAUCCUUAAGUCUUCAACACUCUCCUCUUCCUUCUUAGGAGAAAAACGACCUAUUGUGAACAAUGGUUCCUCCAAUUCUUGAUCAGAGCUUUCAGAGGGUCGCAUAGAGGCUUUCGCACUCUUGAAAUCCUCUGAAUCACCCGAUUCAGUUUCAGAUUCAGACUCAGAACCUUCAUCAGUGGGUGUGGGUUGUUGUGGUUGCUUUUGACUAUCCUCAGUCUCAUCACCGUCAUCAGGAUAACAUUGGAAAAUUCCCACAUUCUCCCCCCACUUUGCAUUGUACUCAACACUUCUCGUGAGCUUAAUUGUUUUAGAGUCAGUCAUCAUUAUUCUGUAAGACCCUUUCUGAUAACCUAGAAAGAUACCAUGCAAUCCACGCUUGUCUAACUUGGAGUUUUGUGGUGAGUGAACCCACAUGUCAGAACCAAAAAUCUUCAUGUGUUUGAUGUAUGGCUUCUUGCCAAACAUCUUCUCAUAGGGGGUACAACCAAUCGCUGAAGAUAAUCUGCGAUUGUAACUGUAAACAAAACACGAGAGAGAUUCGGCCCAAUAACUCUCUGGAAGAUUGGCAUCAUGCAGCAAGGUUUUUAGACCUUGAAGCAAUGUCUGAUUUGCCCGUUCCGCAAGUCCAUUCUGCCAUGGCGAGCGAGGACUAGACAAAUCGUGUUGAAUUCCUUUCUCAGUCAGAAAAGCUUCAAACUGCUGAGAAGUGAAUUCCCCCCCGCGAUCACUGAAAAGAGUCUUUAUCUUCUUACCAUGCACAUUUUCCAACCAAGCACAGAAUUCCUUGAACCUAGGAAAAGCCUCCGAUUUCUGCUUGAGAUUGUACACAAAAAUAUAUCUAGAAAAUGCAUCAAUGAGAACCAUGAAGUAUCUAUUUCCACCCAAAGAGGGCGUUAGUGGUCCAACCAAAUCAGCAUGAACAACCUGGUAUGGUUCUGUAGCUUUCCUACUAGACACCUUACCUUUCGCAGCCAUUUUCACCUUGUUUGCUGCGCAUGCUUUGCACUUCAUGUGGUACCUGCAGGGUUUAAUAGUCAUACCUUCAACCAAGGCAGGCAUUUUAGAUACUGCCUCAAAAUGCAAAUGACCAAAUUUGCGAUGAAAAUCGUGAAUACAUUCUGCAUGCAAACUUUUGUUAGAACCUGCAAUGCAACAAGUGUCAUCCUGCACCACAUCAUCAUAAUACAAAACAAACAAAUGAUCAACAUACUCUGCAUGCAAUACAUAAUCAUUUUUCUUUGUGAUGAUGCACUUCUUGUUCUUGAAGGAAACGUCAAUGUUCCGCUCAUUCAGCUGUCCAACGCUGAGCAGAUUAUGUUUGGCGUCUGGCACGUAAAGCACAUUCUGUAUCGAUAAGUCCAAACUGUGAAGAACAACAGUUCCGUAGCCUUUACUGGGAAUAGUGUGGUCAUCCGCCUGGUGAAUCGCACCUUCCUGCGGUGUAAAAGACACAAACAGUUUUUUAUCGUUGCACAUGUGGUGGGUGGCCGCUGAAUCAACAACGAAGAAAGAUCUAGACGUUUUCUGGACCUCUGCAACCUUUGGAGUGAAGCGUGAAACCAUAGCCUUGUGCUGCAUUGUCCUAGACACCGGACCUUUGCCUUUGCCUCGGCCUUUUCCGCGCGAUGAGCUUUCGCUGCGCUGCUCUGUCUUGGCCCUGGGAUGUCUGCAUUCCCUCUUCAUAUGGCCUAGACGUCCACACGAGUAGCAUUUCACUGCCUGCAAAGCUUUGGCGCCAUCUGGUGGUUCCACUGCACUAUGGGAUGACGUCUGUGAAGACUCCCCUUUGCCCAUGCAGCUAGCACCCCGGCGAUCUGCUUCAUUUAAAAUCACGGCAGUAACAAAGUCCACUGUCAGCUGAGCAGUUGGUUGCACAGCAAUCUGGGUUGCAACAGACUCCCAACCUGAACCCAAAGAUUGUAGUAUCAUGAAAGAAUACACAGCCUCUGGAAAGUUGAGUCCUCUCUGUUGCAGCUCAUGUCUCAGAUUUUGCAUCUCCAUCAGAUGUAAACGCACAUCUCCACCUUCAGCAAGAGCCAUAUUGUGCAGCUUGUUAAAGUAAUACAUAGUGGAUCCAGCUUCUGUCCUUAAGUGAGCCUCUCUCAGAGCGUCCCAAAUCUCUCUGGCUGAGGUCUUAUCACGCAAUAGACAGAGCUCUUCUGGGGAUACUAUCAAUGUAAGAGUUCCCUUGCUUUGGAAUCCUUAGCUUCCCAUACAUCUGUAACUGGAACUGGGGGGGUUCCUGUAAUCACCUCAAACAAACCCUCUUUCCGCAGAAUUGCCUCUGCAUACUGAACCCAGUCGCUGUAAUUAUUCUUGUUGAGCUUAGGAAUCCCACAAGCAUCCUGAAGGGCCAUCAUGACUCUGGCAUUAGCCUUCAGCGUCAUAUUUAUGCUGCUUUAAAUCUUGCUGCGUCACUGCUGCAGCUGCUUCAUUACAAAGGCACACUUAAAAGUUACUUUCGAUUUCCCCAGCAUAGUGACUUGUGCCUGGGAGUCUUUUGCCUAUUCCCGGCAAAACCGGCUUUAAAAGUUCAAAGUCCAGCCAUAAAGCCAUUAACUUGAAGCUGGCAGGCUGCCCGGAGCAGUAGCACAUACCUCAUCAAUCACUUCUACGCGCAGAGCAGAUUCCGUUCCGAUCUGUUCCUCUGCAUUCCGAUCCUUUGCCGGCACUCCGAUUCGACCUCUGGAGUCCAUAACCACGUGUUGAUUUAAAGCAGAGUCUGUCGUGCCCAGCGGAAGGAUGAGGAAAAUGUGUUACAUACUCUAUAUUGCUUUAUUUACAGUUCAAAGCUGGUACAUUACAGAAAGACAUCUUGCCUCUGCAGGAGCAGAAAAAUGCAUCCUCUCUCCUCAACAGCUUGGAGAGAAGCACACAGAGAAAAAACAGGAAACCAGUGUACGUCACAUCCAGUCUCCCUUUCCCGUGAGAAACUCCAACAGUACAGACUGUGGAAUGUAAACACCUGUCUUGUGACUGCAGUUGCUGCACAGUGAAGGAAAUAGAAACCAACACU